This 637-nucleotide ribosomal RNA is filed under the name uncultured bacterium. RNAcentral describes it as "bacterial SSU rRNA". It matches the Rfam family "Bacterial small subunit ribosomal RNA", at positions 607 to 1244 of the family's 1533-position model. The record is from RNAcentral.
GCUCAACCGGGGAGGGUCAUUGGAAACUGGGGAACUUGAGUGCAGAAGAGGAGAGUGGAAUUCCACGUGUAGCGGUGAAAUGCGUAGAGAUGUGGAGGAACACCAGUGGCGAAGGCGACUCUCUGGUCUGUAACUGACGCUGAGGCGCGAAAGCGUGGGGAGCGAACAGGAUUAGAUACCCUGGUAGUCCACGCCGUAAACGAUGAGUGCUAAGUGUUAGAGGGUUUCCGCCCUUUAGUGCAGCAGCAAACGCAUUAAGCACUCCGCCUGGGGAGUACGGUCGCAAGACUGAAACUCAAAGGAAUUGACGGGGGCCCGCACAAGCGGUGGAGCAUGUGGUUUAAUUCGAAGCAACGCGAAGAACCUUACCAGGUCUUGACAUCCUCUGACAACCCUAGAGAUAGGGCUUCCCCUUCGGGGGCAGAGUGACAGGUGGUGCAUGGUUGUCGUCAGCUCGUGUCGUGAGAUGUUGGGUUAAGUCCCGCAACGAGCGCAACCCUUGAUCUUAGUUGCCAGCAUUCAGUUGGGCACUCUAAGGUGACUGCCGGUGACAAACCGGAGGAAGGUGGGGAUGACGUCAAAUCAUCAUGCCCCUUAUGACCUGGGCUACACACGUGCUACAAUGGGCAGAACAAAG